RNAcentral lists this non-coding RNA (26 nucleotides) under Homo sapiens (human). Lineage: Eukaryota; Metazoa; Chordata; Mammalia; Primates; Hominidae. The record is from RNAcentral.
UCCCAAAGUGCUGAGAUGACAGGUGU